CAAGUCGAACGCGAAAGCUCCCUUCGGGGAGCAAGUAGAGUGGCGCACGGGUGAGUAACACGUAGGUAAUCUACCUUUGGAUGGGGAAUAACAACCGGAAACGGUUGCUAAUACCGCAUAAUGCAGCGGCACCUAUGGUGACAGUUGUUAAAGCGGGGGAUCGUAAGACCUCGCGUCUGAAGAGGAGCCUGCGGCAGAUUAGCUAGUUGGUAGGGUAACGGCUUACCAAGGCGAUGAUCUGUAGCCGGCCUGAGAGGGCGGUCGGCCACACUGACACUGACAUACGGGUCAGACUCCUACGGGAGGCAGCAGUCGGGAAUUUUGGGCAAUGGGCGAAAGCCUGACCCAGCAACGCCGCGUGAAGGAUGAAAUCCCUCGGGAUGUAAACUUCGCAAGAACGGGAAGAAUAAGUAAGGGUUAAUAUCUCUUACGAUGACGGUACUGUUUGUAAGCUCCGGCUAACUCCGUGCCAGCAGCCGCGGUAAUACGGGGGGGCAAGCGUUGUUCGGAUUUACUGGGCGUAAAGGGCGCGUAGGCGGCCUCUGCAAGUCGACUGUGAAAUCUCCGGGCUUAACCCGGAACGGUCAGCCGAUACUGCAGGGCUAGAGUGCAGAAGGGGCAACUGGAAUUCUCGGUGUAGCGGUGAAACGCGUAGAUAUCGAGAGGAACACCUGCGGCGAAGGCGGGUUGCUGGGCUGACACUGACGCUNAGGCGCGAAAGCUAGGGGAGCGAACGGGAUUAGAUACCCCGGUAGUCCUAGCCUUAAACGAUGAAUGCUUGGUGUCUGGGGUUUUAUAGUCCCCGGGUGCCGUC
RNAcentral lists this ribosomal RNA (814 nucleotides) under uncultured Actinomycetes bacterium. RNAcentral's name for it is "bacterial SSU rRNA". It matches the Rfam family "Bacterial small subunit ribosomal RNA", at positions 58 to 850 of the family's 1533-position model. Lineage: Bacteria; Bacillati; Actinomycetota; Actinomycetes. The record is from RNAcentral.